AUGAAGAGGGAGGAAGGGGAAGAAGAGGACCUUGUGUGUGGGACGUUCACCUGGAGAAUCUGACAACUUCUCCAUGCUGCACAACGAAAUGCAUUAUUCUGAUGUUUUCGUCAUUUGUGGUUAUAAAUGGUAGACUCUUUUUCUUUUUUUUUUUUUUUUUUUUUUUUUUUUUUUUUUUUCUGGGAUAAUAAUUGGUUAAUAUGUAGACUUAAUCGUCUUGGGUUGGUUUGAUCAGGCAGAUCCUUAUAUAUCCUAAGGGGGACAACGUAGUAGAUUACUUGUCCCUGUAUUUGGAAGUUGCAGAUGCUUCAACAUUAACAUUUGGGUGGACCAGAUAUGCCAAGUUCAGCCUCACCGUGGUUAAUCAACUUGAUAGCAAGAAGUCAAUCACAAUGGGUAUAUAUCUUUAUCUAGUGGCUUGUCAUUUGUUAAAGCGACUUGUUAAAUGA
This 449-nucleotide long non-coding RNA is filed under the name Prunus dulcis (almond). RNAcentral's name for it is "sRNA ncRNA". The record is from RNAcentral. Lineage: Eukaryota; Viridiplantae; Streptophyta; Magnoliopsida; Rosales; Rosaceae.